This is a long non-coding RNA of Capsicum annuum, 3752 nucleotides long. RefSeq lists it as uncharacterized. NCBI's taxonomy places the organism in Eukaryota, Viridiplantae, Streptophyta, Magnoliopsida, Solanales, Solanaceae. The transcript is spliced from 2 exons. The record is from RefSeq and is a predicted model, not a curated record.
CAACGGCUUCUUAAGCCAAAAAAAAAGCUACUGCAUCAGUUGUGAUUUAUUCCCUCCCAAUAUUUUCACUGUACCACCAAAAAUUAAAGAAAUAUAUAAUAAAAAUUAAAUAAAUAGAUAAAGAAAAUUUCACUCAAUCUCAUAUUAUAUCGCUAGUACUCUCCGAUCGCCCACAAUCGCCACCAUUACUAUGCACCGGAGACAAUCACCACCAAUACUACACUCCAACCACAAUCACCACCAAUACUACACUCCAACCACAAUCACCACCAAUCGACCAAGUGCUCCGACCAUAAAAUCGACCACCAGUGCAUGCUUCGACCAACAUAUCGACUAUCAGUGCGAGCUCCGACCACAAAUCGACCACUAGUGCUCCAACCACAAAUCAACUUCUCCAUUUCUCCGACAACCUCUUCGAUUUUAGCUCUCAAAUUUGCACUUUAAUUAUAGCUUCGAACGGCACAGAUUGUUAUAAUAUUCUUUUCUAAGAUUACAUUAACAGUUAGAUCAAUCAAAAUUAAAAAACCUUGAGUAUCCCCCCUUAAAUUCAAAACCCCAUUGUGAUCAUUCAGUGAAAUUCCCAAAUCUCUCUUCCAUUUGCUCUAGUCUUCUUCUUCACCGACGUCUCAGUCACCGCGAUUGCACACAAUGGACAGUACUCUAUUUUGCUAUCUAGCCCUAGAAAAUCUAUGUGAUAACUUUGAUCAGGCAGUCACAAUCUCGGGCGAUGAUUUGAUGAAGGCUUCUUCAUCCAUUCCAAAUGGAAGUUUGUUUAUCAUCUUCCUUGGAUUCUACUCUUUUUAGAAAAAUAAUUGGUUGAUUCUUUGUGGAUUGUUGUUUUUAACAUUUUGAUGUGAUAUUUUUAUCUAUUUCGAGAAAGGUUAAUUGGGUUUCUCUAGUGAAUUUAAUUCGAGAAUCAAAUACUUUAUGUUUUAUUUGAAACCUACUUUUUAAUGAAUGGGUGAAUUGAUACUGCCAAGAAAUUAUAUUAAAACAGCAUAAAUUCGGAUUUCUAUUCUUGUUCGAUAAUUGUUUCUACAUGAGUCAAUAGUUUGGAAAUAUUUAAUGUUUUUUUAAUCUUGUGUAAUGAGAAUAACUAAAAGAUUUCAUUGAUUAGUUGUUGUGUAAACACUGUAAGGUACUUUGAUGUUUGAACAUUUAACGAGCUGCAACAUUCUUUUUAGUUUGUUACUCAAGAAACUAGUUGUAACUGAUAUUGUUACUUUUUUUUCUUUUUCUUUUUUAUUUUUGUGUGUGUAUGAUGAGAAUAACUAAAAGAUUUUGAGUAGCUAUUGUGUAUACUCUAUUAGAUUUUUUGAUGUUUGAACAUUCAAAGAGGUGCGGCAAUCUUCUAUAUUUGUUACUCAAGAAACUGGUAGUAACUGAUAUUAAUUACACCCUUGUUAUUUGAUGAAUGUGCAAAAACUUAGGGUGGUCGAAAUCGGGCAGAAUUUUGUUAUGCUUGAUUUAUCGUCAUGGAUUACUUUGCAUCUGAAUUUCAAAAGUUUUGAGCCCUCUCCCCUGGUCCACCUAAGCCUAUUAAGUGAGUUGGAUUGAUGUGUGUUGAUGAAUAUUCUCAAUGACAGGCUUUGCUUCUUACAUUUGUUGGAUUUCUGUCUUUUGAAUUGGUUCAGUUAAAGUUGUCAAAACUCCUAAUUUACCGUAUGAGAAUAAUGCUUCACAUUGUACUACAAAAGUAUAUUCAUCAUAUUAAGAGUAGACUCUUCCAAUUUUAAGAAAUAUUGAAGAUAGCGACAAUCUACUCGUAAGAUGUUAACCACUCCAUGCUAAAAUAUGUGUUUAAAUGGAGAUCACACAAGUGAGUUUUCAUAGAUAUCCUUUUUUUCAUUACUUGAGUGAAGAACAGGGAGCAUCAUGUAAUGAUGUCAAUGGCACGAGCGUGGACUCUUUUACUGGUUUUGAAGCUUCUAACGCUCUUCAGUAUAUGAGUAUGAACAACAUUCUCAUAUCAGGUCUCUUAUUUAGUUGUAUGCUAACAAUUCUAAGCUAUUUUCGGUCCUUCAAAAUUAUCAAGUGUUCAACUUGAACUUCUAAAAAAGAAGUAUGAUGAAGAGGUGGAGCUACUGAAGCAGAAGUAUACGGAGGAGUGUAUAGACAACAUCUCAUAUCUGUUCGCUUUUAUAUAGUUGCAUGCUAUGAUUUGGAUCUAUUUUUUGUCUCUUUGGCUAUAUCAGGUGUUCAACAUGAACUUCUAAAAAAUCAGUAUGAUGAAGAGUGUGAACUACUCAAGAAGAAGUAUCUUGAGGAGUGUACUGAAAGAAAACGUCUAUACAAUUAAGUGAUCAAGCUCAAAGGAAGUAUCAGGGUCUUCUGUAGAUGUAGACCUUUAAAUACAGGGGAAAUUGCAGAUCGAUCAACAUCUAUGGUCGAAUUUGAUCCAUCUUAUGAAAAUGAACUUUUGAUCAGUUGUGUAGGUUCCUCCAAAAAGCAGUUUAAGUUCGAUUAUUUGUUCAAACUCGAGGACAUCCAAGGUAAGUCAAUAUCUGUGAUAUGAAGUGUGUAUCUAACAUUUUUCUGCAAGGAAUAUUUUUAAUGCUUAUUGUAAUUUCACAUCCAAAUCCUUUAAAUUUCUAUUACAGAUAUUGUUUUUGCACAAACAAUGCCCAUUGUGACCUUUGUUUUGGAUGGGUAUAAUGUCUACAUAUUUACCUAUGGACAAACUGGAACAUGUAAGAUAUUUACUAUCGAAGGGGCACCAGAAAAUAGGGGAGUCAACUACUGAACUAUAGAGAAACUAUUUAGCUUAUCUAGCAAGAGAAGCAGUAACAUGAAAUAUGAGUUGUUUGUCAGCAUGUAGAGUUUUAUAAUGAUAACAAGGUAAGAAAAUGUAAGUUAUGGUAUUAGCUUUCCUUUUGAAUAUUUAUUUACACUAAAGGGAAAUAACAACACAUGAAGAGUGUUGUUCUGCUCAAACUUCCAGUGUUACAUUCUAUACUCAAUAAUUUCUAUUAGCAUGUCACACAAGGUCAAAAUUAGUAUAAAACUGAUAGAACUAAGAUUGUUUUGUAAUUUUGGAAUAGCCAAGACACUUUCUUACUACUGUAGAUGACUAUAUUUUUAUGUUGAUCCCAUGGGAUUAUUAUUCUGUAAAUGUGAAAAUAUAAUUUGUAAGUUCUGUUCUUGUCAACUCAAGGUCAUUAAUCAAUGAAAAUUAUGUUUAGAUGUUGUGGUGAUAGAGAUUUAGAGUUGUUGUCCUUGACUAGAACUAUCUGACUUCGGUCAUGAAAUAUGUUCAAUAAAUCUAAACCUUAUAGAGUGGUAUGGUUUUUAUUUUAUUUGGGGGGUUGUAGUGCAUCGUUAUUUACAGUUUUUGUUCAUAAAGUAUUUGGCUAUUUACUGUUUCUCAUUGACCUUGAUCUAAGCAUUUGACGCUAUAUUUUCUAUAGUCAUGGCCUUGAUUUAAACUCAUCCUAGAUUUCCUGCUUUUUGCUGUAGGGAAGAUGCUCAAACUGAAAAUUUGGCAUGAAACUUGUGAUCUCUCAUUUUGCAUCUCAUGGUAUACUACAUUAAAGUGGUUGAUUAGUUUGGGUUUGGUUCAAAUUUCCUUUUUCCUCUCCUGUGGUUUCUCCUAACCUAAUUAGAUUGGGCAAUCAUGAACUUUUAUCUGUUUGACAGUUAUUAAUCAGGUGUUGCUAUAUCUACCUUAUUGCUCUUAUGUUUAUGUUCUAUGUUGUGUGAUAUAAGUUAUCUUACCUUGGUCUUACUGAGGACAUGACUUUGGAUAGGAGAGG